Molecule: ribosomal RNA, 253 nt
Filed under: uncultured bacterium
Lineage: Bacteria
Description: partial 16S ribosomal RNA
Rfam family: Bacterial small subunit ribosomal RNA
Source: RNAcentral
UACGGAGGAGGCAAGCGUUAUCCGGAAUUAUUGGGCGUAAAGCGUCCGCAGGUGGCUAUUCAAGUCUGCGGUCAAAGACUGGGGCUUAACCCUGGAAAGGCCGUGGAAACUGAAGAGCUAGAGUGCAGUAGGGGUAGAGGGAAUUCCCGGUGUAGCGGUGAAAUGCGUAGAGCUCGGGAAGAACAUCGGUGGCGAAAGCGCUCUGCUGGACUGCAACUGACACUCAGGGACGAAAGCUAGGGGAGCGAACAGG